AUGUUCUAUUCUAUUCAAUCUCAUAUAUACCGUUUUCAUUACAAACAAAUAUCUUUCUUAUUUCUCACAGUAACAGUUCUCUCAACACAUGCUCCACAGCACGACGACGACGACGAGCAUCCGGAGAAAUCAUCUGCGUACAUCCUAAAGACUGGUGAUGGAGAUGCUACCCAGUGCAUGAGUGGAUUCAUAGCCAUGGACAUUCUUCCUCCCUGUGGGCCUAUCCGAAUUCUGGGCGAUAUAUUCAUGGGAGCCUACCAUGCCGUAUUCGACUAUGGCAACAUGAAGGUUGGGUUCGCGAAGGCAGCAUAG
This 312-nucleotide ribosomal RNA is filed under the name Triticum aestivum (bread wheat). Its description in RNAcentral is "partial small subunit ribosomal RNA". Lineage: Eukaryota; Viridiplantae; Streptophyta; Magnoliopsida; Poales; Poaceae. The record is from RNAcentral.